AGUCGAGGGCGAAGUUUCCUUCGGGAAGCGAGUAGACCGGCGAACGGGUGAGUAGCACGUGAGCAACCUACCUGGGAGAAGGGGAUAACUCGGGGAAACUCGGGCUAAUACCCUAUGAUGUGGCGGCACCGAAUGGUGAAGCCACUAAAGGGGGCGUCUUUCAGCGGAGCUCUCGCUUCCAGAUGGGCUCGCGACCUAUCAGCUUGUUGGUGAGGUAACGGCUCACCAAGGCGAUGACGGGUAGCUGGUCUCAGCGGAUGAUCAGCCACACGGGGACUGAGACACGGCCCCGACUCCUACGGGAGGCAGCAGUGGGGAAUUUUGGACAAUGGGCGCAAGCCUGAUCCAGCGACGCCGCGUACGGGAGGAAGCCCCUCGGGGUGUAAACCGUUGUCAGGGGGGAAGAACGGGCUCGGGCGAAUACCUCGGGCAUCUGACGGUACCCCCAGAGGAAGCGCCGGCUAACUCCGUGCCAGCAGCCGCGGUAAUACGGAGGGCGCGAGCGUUGUCCGGAAUUACUGGGCGUAAAGGGGGCGCAGGCGGCUUGCUGAGUCCUGUGUGAAGUCCUGCGGCUCAACCGUGGAAAGCCACAGGAUACUGGCGAGCUCGAGACGGGUAGAGGCGAGUGGAAUUCCCGGUGUAGCGGUGGAAUGCGUAGGUAUCGGGAAGAACACCAGUGGCGAAGGCGACUCGCUGGGCCCGUUCUGACGCUCAGGCCCGAAAGCGUGGGGAGCAAACAGGAUUAGAUACCCUGGUAGUCCACGCCGUAAACGAUGGGCACUAGGUGCUGGGAAGUGUGACCUUUUCGGUGCCGUAGCUAACGCGUUAAGUGCCCCGCCUGGGGAGUACGRCCGCMRGGCUGAAACUCAAAGGAAUUGACGGGGGCCCGCACAAGCGGUGGAGCAUGUGGUUAAUUUGAUGCAACGCGAAGAACCUUACCUGGGCUUGACAUGCUAGGGAACUCGGGUGGAAACAUCCGGGGCCCUUCGGGGCUCUAGCACAGGUGCUGCAUGGCUGUCGUCAGCUCGUGUCGUGAGAUGUUGGGUUAAGUCCCGCAACGAGCGCAACCCUUACUCGUAGUUGCCAGCGGGUAAAGCCGGGGACUCUACGGGGACUGCCGGUGAUAAACCGGAGGAAGGUGAGGACGACGUCAAGUCAUCAUGGCCCUUACGCCCAGGGCGACACACGUGCUACAAUGGCCGGUACAAUGGGCUGCAAUCCCGCGAGGGUGAGCUAAUCCCAAAAACCCGGUCUAAGUUCGGAUCGGAGUCUGCAACCCGACUCCGUGAAGCCGGAAUCGCUAGUAAUCGCGGAUCAGCCAUGCCGCGGUGAAUACGUUCCCGGGCUUUGUACACACCGCCCGUCACGCCAUGGAAGCCGGGGGGACCCGAAGUCAGUGGCCUAACCUUCGAGAGGGAGCUGCCGAAG
This 1428-nucleotide ribosomal RNA is filed under the name uncultured bacterium. RNAcentral describes it as "16S ribosomal RNA". It matches the Rfam family "Bacterial small subunit ribosomal RNA". The record is from RNAcentral.